This 130-nucleotide small nucleolar RNA is filed under the name Nannospalax galili (Upper Galilee mountains blind mole rat). Its description in RNAcentral is "Small nucleolar RNA SNORA67 (ENSNGAG00000003618.1)". It matches the Rfam family "Small nucleolar RNA SNORA67". From Rfam's summary of the family: U67 belongs to the H/ACA class of snoRNAs which are thought to guide the sites of modification of uridines to pseudouridines. The record is from Rfam by way of RNAcentral. Lineage: Eukaryota; Metazoa; Chordata; Mammalia; Rodentia; Spalacidae.
AUAGAUAUUUCCCUUUUCUUUUAGUGCCCUUCUUGGGAACAUAGCAACUUGGAAGAAAACUUGGCAUGUCUAAGGUCUUUAAAGAGGAAGGGAUGCAUACUUCUUUGCCUCACUUUGGCUGCCUACAUAU